Molecule: ribosomal RNA, 563 nt
Filed under: uncultured Thelephora
Lineage: Eukaryota; Fungi; Basidiomycota; Agaricomycetes; Thelephorales; Thelephoraceae
Description: eukaryotic LSU rRNA
Rfam family: 5.8S ribosomal RNA (bases 137-291)
Source: RNAcentral
CCACUCACACCCGGUGCACCCUCCGUGGUUCUUAUGGUCAGGGGGGCCUGUCCUCCUGCUGUGGUUCUGCGUCUUUACACACACACUGUAAACAAAGUCUCAUGGAAUGCAUGCCGCGUUUAACGCAAUACAAUACAACUUUCAGCAACGGAUCUCUUGGCUCUCGCAUCGAUGAAGAACGCAGCGAAAUGCGAUAAGUAAUGUGAAUUGCAGAAUUCAGUGAAUCAUCGAAUCUUUGAACGCACCUUGCGCCCUUUGGACAUUCCGAAGGGCAUGCCUGUUUGAGUAUCAUGAACACCUCAACUCUUCAUGGUUUUCCAUGAUGAGCUUGGACUUUGGGGGGUUUUGCUGGCUUACAGUCAGCUCCUCUAAAAUAAAUCAGCUUGCCAGUGUUUGGUGGGUAUCGCAGGUGUGAUAACUAUCUACGCUUGUGGUUUUCCACCAGGUAACCUUCAGCAGUGGAGGUUCACUGGAGCUCACAGACAUGUCUCUCCUCAGUGAGGACAGCCCUUUGAAUGUUUUGAUCUCAAAUCAGGUAGGACUACCCGCUGAACUUAAGCAUA